CAGUAGCCGCGGGAAUACGAAGGGGGCUAGCGUUGUUCGGAAUUACUGGGCGUAAAGCGCACGUAGGCGGACAUUUAAGUCAGGGGUGAAAUCCCGGGGCUCAACCCCGGAACUGCCUUUGAUACUGGGUGUCUAGAGUAUGGAAGAGGUGAGUGGAAUUCCGAGUGUAGAGGUGAAAUUCGUAGAUAUUCGGAGGAACACCAGUGGCGAAGGCGGCUCACUGGUCCAUUACUGACGCUGAGGUGCGAAAGCGUGGGGAGCAAACAGGAUUAGAGACCCCGGUAGUCCCUGUCUCUUAUAA
Molecule: ribosomal RNA, 301 nt
Filed under: uncultured bacterium
Lineage: Bacteria
Description: partial 16S ribosomal RNA
Rfam family: Bacterial small subunit ribosomal RNA
Source: RNAcentral